GCGCUUCAGCAGAACAUAUACUAAAACUGGAACGACACAGAAAAGAUUAGCAUGGCCCCUGCACAAGGAUGACAUGCAAAUUCAUGAAGCAAUCCAUAUUUUC
Molecule: small nuclear RNA, 103 nt
Filed under: Sus scrofa (pig)
Lineage: Eukaryota; Metazoa; Chordata; Mammalia; Artiodactyla; Suidae
Source: RNAcentral